GGAGAGAUGCUCGAGCGGUUGAAGAGGCACGCCUGGAAAGCGUGUAGCCGCCUAAAGUGGCUCGUGGGUUCGAAUCCCACUCUCUCCGCAA
Molecule: transfer RNA, 91 nt
Filed under: Bacteroidetes bacterium GWE2_42_42
Lineage: Bacteria; Pseudomonadati; Bacteroidota
Also listed under: 2 other names
Description: tRNA-Ser
Rfam family: tRNA
About the family: Transfer RNA (tRNA) molecules are approximately 80 nucleotides in length.
Source: RNAcentral